UGUUUAGUGACAUGUGACAGAACACGUCUCCAUUUAUCAGUCCCAGGAUUCUACUGCUUUACUUUACUCCACAGCGUCCUCACAGCUCCAGGUGCAGCUGUCCAACAUCUCACCAGCUGCUGAUGACCUCAGUCCAGAACCACUUGAUUGUCUACGCUGUCUACCACAGCCUGAAGCUUCAUCACCCUCGUGUCGUAGCAGAUGUUUUCUGCCAACACAGGCAGAGAUCCAGGACCAUUGACGUGAUCUGGAACAAAUAGAACAAGCAUGGCAGACAGCGUCUGAUGCACUUUCACUACAAGCAUCAGGGCCCUGCAGCCCGGCCGGCAGAUGAGCUCCGACCAGUCGGCUGGAGGCUCAACACAUCAGCAGGAGGAGAUUAGAAGAUGGCGUCCCAGGAGUCAAAGCUGGGCCUGGGGACAGCGAACGCUCCUGCUGCGCUCUGUUCAAACUCUAGAACUCUGCUGCCUCCACUGCAGUCACAGCUCUGCAGGCUGCUGUGACCUUGUGCUCAGCACAUGCGGUGUGUGUGUUACUGGCUGAGAGUCUGUCGGUGUGGAGGAAAUCCCUCCUUUGUUUCCAGGCGAGUUUAUUUUCUGUGUUUAAUGGAGGAAACUCAAAGAUGGUCGGAUUGGACAGAUAAGAGAAAGUCAUGGACAGAGUCUGAAUAAAUAACAUUAAAAAUACCUUUAGGAUCUACUAACCUGAAAUGGGUUUCUAGCAUUUAAUUAACCUCACUUUCAACAUUUGAUGCCUUGCUACUUCAUCAAAUAUAGAGUUUGAGUAAUCGAUGUCAUAAUCGGUGUCACAUGUUUCUGGACACUCAUCUUCUUUUUCUGCUCUAGCUCAGACUUUGGCACCAACAUAGUUCAUUAUGUGGAUCAGCUCAAUUCAAAGUCAGCCAGGAUUAAGCUUCUUCAUACAUUAGCAGUUUAUAAAUGUGCCACUUGGAGGCAGGCUGGAUAAAGAGAAUGCAGAACAACCUUGGAGAAGAGGAGAAAGCAGCCACAAAGACUCAGAGGGGGGUGACAAGGCAAUGGAUACUAAUUGCCACCAGCUUUCUCUCAACAGGGGAUUCACCUUUGAGUUGCAAGUAGGAGAAGUAAUGUGUAUGCUGAUGUGUGUGUUUAAUUAUGUAUGUGCAUGUUUCUUUUU
Betta splendens (Siamese fighting fish) is the source of this 1155-nucleotide long non-coding RNA. RefSeq lists it as uncharacterized. NCBI's taxonomy places the organism in Eukaryota, Metazoa, Chordata, Actinopteri, Anabantiformes, Osphronemidae. The record is from RefSeq and is a predicted model, not a curated record. The transcript is spliced from 4 exons.